GAUGAACGCUGGCGGCGUGCCUAAUACAUGCAAGUCGAGCGAACGGACGAGAAGCUUGCUUUUCUGAUGUUAGCGGCGGACGGGUGAGUAACACGUGGAUAACCUACCUAUAAGACUGGGAUAACUUCGGGAAACCGGAGCUAAUACCGGAUAAUAUUUUGAACCGCAUGGUUCAAAAGUGAAAGACGGUCUUGCUGUCACUUAUAGAUGGAUCCGCGCUGCAUUAGCUAGUUGGUAAGGUAACGGCUUACCAAGGCAACGAUGCAUAGCCGACCUGAGAGGGUGAUCGGCCACACUGGAACUGAGACACGGUCCAGACUCCUACGGGAGGCAGCAGUAGGGAAUCCUCCGCAAUGGGCGAAAGCCUGACGGAGCAACGCCGCGUGAGUGAUGAAGGUCUUCGGAUCGUAAAACUCCGUUAUUAGGGAAGAACAUAUGUGUAAGUAACUGUGCACAUCUUGACGGUACCUAAUCAGAAAGCCACGGCUAACUACGUG
This 497-nucleotide ribosomal RNA is filed under the name uncultured bacterium. RNAcentral describes it as "partial 16S ribosomal RNA". It matches the Rfam family "Bacterial small subunit ribosomal RNA", at positions 28 to 507 of the family's 1533-position model. The record is from RNAcentral.